RNAcentral lists this ribosomal RNA (253 nucleotides) under uncultured bacterium. RNAcentral describes it as "partial 16S ribosomal RNA". It matches the Rfam family "Bacterial small subunit ribosomal RNA", at positions 524 to 776 of the family's 1533-position model. The record is from RNAcentral.
UACGUAGGGCGCAAGCGUUGUCCGGAAUUAUUGGGCGUAAAGAGCUCGUAGGCGGCUUGUCACGUCGGGUGUGAAAGCCCGGGGCUCAACCCCGGGUCUGCAUUCGAUACGGGCUAGUUAGAGUGUGGUAGGGGAGAUCGGAAUUCCUGGUGUAGCGGUGAAAUGCGCAGAUAUCAGGAGGAACACCGGUGGCGAAGGCGGGUCUCUGGGCCAUUACUGACGCUGAGGAGCGAAAGCGUGGGGAGCGAACAGG